This 71-nucleotide transfer RNA is filed under the name Cavia porcellus (domestic guinea pig). It matches the Rfam family "tRNA". From Rfam's summary of the family: Transfer RNA (tRNA) molecules are approximately 80 nucleotides in length. Their secondary structure includes four short double-helical elements and three loops (D, anti-codon, and T loops). Lineage: Eukaryota; Metazoa; Chordata; Mammalia; Rodentia; Caviidae. The record is from Rfam by way of RNAcentral.
GGUGGUGUAGCUCAGUGGUGGAGCACUUUCUUAGAAUGCGCGAGCCCUGGGUUCCAUCCCCAGUUCCAUCA